Molecule: non-coding RNA, 587 nt
Filed under: Pongo abelii (Sumatran orangutan)
Lineage: Eukaryota; Metazoa; Chordata; Mammalia; Primates; Hominidae
Source: RNAcentral
UUUUCAUUCCCGUUGUCAUGGAGGGCCACAUCUGCCAGAGCCUGGAGUCUGCGAAGGCCGGGACCCGGUUCCCCGGCCCGCCGUGGGGAGUGUGCAAACCCGAGAGAACUGGGUUGCAAAUUCGUGAAGAAUCAGCAGCAUGUUUGGCAGCUGAGUAUUGGAGCCAGGAGCCUGCCAUGAGGUUUUGAGAACAGGGUGCUGUUUUAGAGCUGGCAGCAGCAUCUCAGCCCAAGAGAAGCUGAUGCAGCCUCAGUGUUCCUUUGCCUUGGGGGUUUCUGAGUGGUGGGGUUGUAAGGAGAGCCUGCCAGGCAUCCAGAAGGAAACCUCAUCAGGACUCCCUCAGAAAGGCCCUGAAGAAUCCUGUGACCUUCCUCUAAAGUAGGUCAUGAGACCCCCUGAGCUUAAAACGGAGUGAUCGGCUUUGGAGAAGCAUGACUCCACAGUUUCUGCAACAACAGAGCCGGGGAAAGGAGGACGCAGCAAGCGCUGAAUAUUAACCAGCAAAGGUAGAUGCUUCAAUAUCGAAACCACCAGGACCCGCAUGUGCAAAGCUACUUAAUGAGGGUGUAAUCAAACACAGUCUACCA